Molecule: long non-coding RNA, 398 nt
Filed under: Rattus norvegicus (Norway rat)
Lineage: Eukaryota; Metazoa; Chordata; Mammalia; Rodentia; Muridae
Description: long non-coding RNA NONRATT024115
Source: RNAcentral
GGGGGUGGUACUUAGAUAGGGUUUUCCUGCUUUGUGCUUCUAUGGUGUCUCUUGCUUUCUAGGCCAUUGGCAUCCACUGUGAAUGAUAAGCUGGAGUUGCAAGAGUGUCUGGAACACGGCAGAAUAGCCAAGUUCAGCAAAGUGAGGACCAUUACCACCAGGUCAAACUCCAUAAAGCAGGGCAAAGACCAGCAUUUCCCUGUCUUCAUGAAUGAGAAGGAAGACAUCCUCUGGUGCACUGAAAUGGAAAGGUAGCGUGCUGGGUGCUUGCGUCUGGCCAGGGCUGGGUUGGAAGGAAGACUCUGCGUCAGCUGCCACAUCCUCAUUUCCCCCAAAUUCCUUGUGAGUGAAUUUUAACAAACCUUUCCCAGCAUGCCAGGCUCCUGGAGAGGACCUGU